GAUGAACGCUGGCGGCGUGCCUAAUACAUGCAAGUCGAGCGAACAGACGAGGAGCUUGCUCCUCUGACGUUAGCGGCGGACGGGUGAGUAACACGUGGAUAACCUACCUAUAAGACUGGGAUAACUUCGGGAAACCGGAGCUAAUACCGGAUAAUAUAUUGAACCGCAUGGUUCAAUAGUGAAAGACGGUUUUGCUGUCACUUAUAGAUGGAUCCGCGCCGCAUUAGCUAGUUGGUAAGGUAACGGCUUACCAAGGCAACGAUGCGUAGCCGACCUGAGAGGGUGAUCGGCCACACUGGAACUGAGACACGGUCCAGACUCCUACGGGAGGCAGAAGUAGGGAAUCUUCCGCAAUGGGCGAAAGCCUGACGGAGCAACGCCGCGUGAGUGAUGAAGGUCUUCGGAUCGUAAAACUCUGUUAUUAGGGAAGAACAAAUGUGUAAGUAACUAUGCACGUCUUGACGGUACCUAAUCAGAAAGCCACGGCUAACUACGU
Molecule: ribosomal RNA, 496 nt
Filed under: uncultured bacterium
Lineage: Bacteria
Description: partial 16S ribosomal RNA
Rfam family: Bacterial small subunit ribosomal RNA
Source: RNAcentral